Molecule: long non-coding RNA, 3363 nt
Organism: Capra hircus (goat)
Lineage: Eukaryota; Metazoa; Chordata; Mammalia; Artiodactyla; Bovidae
Source: Ensembl
CUGAGGGCCGCUGAGGAGGCCUGUGCAGCCAUGGAGGCCCGCUGCCUGCGGGAGACCCAGAGGAGAGCCGGAGCCCUGAGCGGCCUGGGCGGCCAGAGAGAGCGGGACCUGCUCGCUCAAGCAGACAGAGAGGAGUGGGAGCAGGAGGCGAAGGUGAUGCUGGGCCUGCAGCAAGUCCUGCAGAGUUUAGGGCAGGCCGCAGAAAAGCUCAGGCAAGCGGUAGGCCGGCUGCGGGGCCAGGAGGAGGAGAUGCGGCUACAGGGCAGCAGGGAUCAACGCCCACAGGUCUGGAGCCGCUCCAGGAAGGUGGUCCAGCACCUCUCUGAUGAGCUGCAGGAGGCGGUGAGGGAGAGGCAGAGUGCCCUGGAUAGGGCCCUUGGUCAGCUGCAGUACCAGCGGGAGCUGAGCCGCCUCCAGCUCUUGCACAUCCAGAUUGUUGCCUCGGGGACCCCUGUAUGUUUGGAGAAUUACCCUGGAGACAGGUUUUACGGAACCGUCACCACUUCUCCCAGGGACCAGGCUGCUGCCUGCCCCCUGCUGAUUCCCUUCCUGAAGAGCCUCACUGCAGCGCUAGUGGGCGAUCAAGGCCACGGCCUAGGACCGGAGGAUGGGGGACCAGGAACAGAUGCAGAUAAAGUUGACUUCAUAUGGGCCUCACCACUCUUCUCUGCCCUGAGGAAAGUAGACAUCAGGUCCCAAGCUCACAAGGAUGAAGCUGAACUGCAAGGACAGGUGCAUCACAAACCAGCCCUCAAAAGCUCUUUGCAAGAUCUCCCCAAACCUCAGAUAACGCAGAAGGAAGAGCUGAUAACUGUGCCGUCCACAGACCUCUCUGCCAGGGAGUUCGUGGUUUACCAGCAUGGCCUCUCCAUCCUACACCUCCUCAUCCCCCAGCUUCAGGCUCCAAAAAUCACCCUGCAUAUUGCUUCUCGUCUUCCUACCAUGGAAGCCUCAGACAAUGCCUUCCAAGGUUCCUUCUUCUAUCAGAGAGCUGAAAACACACUGUUUGUUGGGAGAGAGUGUUUGGCAUCGGUGGGAAGCUUUGUUCUGCUGUUGAUCCACUGUCUGGCCCACAUCGCUGCCGAUGACCUCCAUCAGGACUCCAACCCCGCCUUUCUGAGGUCAUUUUACAAGGGGCUGAAGGCCUACUUCAGGGAAGCAUUCUCUAUCACUCUGCGAAUGUCGACAGUUUCCCAGGACAGUAAACUUGGCCAAAGCAUAAGUGCUCUUCUGCUGGGAGAGCAGCCCAUCUCUGAAAGAGGAAGAGACCUUCUCUCUAAACUCAUUGUAAGAAAGCAUGAGUCCCACUUGGAGCCAGAGUCGUCGGAGGAGUAUAUUAAGAAAAACAAAGAUCUUCUCCUUUUUAUCAACAUGGAACACUUCCUAAAAAGCAUCCUUGCUGCAGAGCAAAAACUCCCAAAAGAAACAAGAGAUCAACUUGGGGAUGAAGAGAAGGUGAGAUGUUCGGAUGACCUACAGCACUGAGACCAUAUUUUGCUAUAUACUUUGCAACAUUUUUGUGUGUGUUUGGGACCAUGUUUAUCAUUGAACGUGUCAGCAGAACACAAAAUUGGGAAUAAAUGGUGGUAUGAACAGGUAAUAUCAUCAGUCACUUCAAAGUUAAUCCCUCUGCUUUCAGGCAGGUCAGGUAUUAAUCUUAAAGAACUGGAGCUGAGACUUGGACUUGCCCCAGUUCACCCAGCUGGAAGAGAAUAAACAGUCACCAGAUCUACUGCCUUCUCAUUUGGGAUUUCUCCCACUGUUCCAUAGUGAUACCUACUACUGUUUUGUUUUUAAUCUGGAGCAUUUAAAACAUUGUUAUAUCUUUAAAAACCACCAAAUACUUUGGUCCCAAAGGACAAACAUUAAUAUUUUGUCACAUAUAAUUAGCAAAGAGAAAACCCCAAGCAUUAUUAUACUCAUUAUUCUAAGCAGAAUAGUGACCUAAACAUGUUGAGAUCAAGAUCAGCAACAACCUAGAGAUGUAUGUAGCUGAGCACCAACUCUAAUCCUGGGCUCCAGUCUGUUUCAAAGUUAUCACCAGUAUCUGGGGUGAAAACUACAUUUUUAUUACAUUAUUUUAUUGCAUUGUUUCAAGAUCACACAACUUUACAAGUACACAUAUCAUUAAUGGACACCUCAUGAAACCAUCCAAACGAGCAUUUCCAUGUAAGCAUCCAGACCAGCUUCCAGCAGCACCCACGUCUCCCCUGCCAGGAAGGGUGACUGGCAGGCCACCAUCCUGACUCCAAACCUUGUAAAUUGUUUUUGCUUAUUCAUGAAUUUUACACCAAUAGAAUCAUAAAAUAUGAAUUCUUUCUUCUUCAAGUUUGUGAGAUUUAUCCAUAUUGUUGCAGGUAGUUGUAGUUUGUUGAUUCUCUUUGUUGUAAAGUAUUCUGUGGUGCAGACAUAUCUUAAUUUAUUCACCAUGUACUGAUCUACAGGUGGGUGUUUUCCAGCUUGGAGUUAUAUAAAUAGUUCUGUGCACCUUUUGAUGACUAUACCUAGUCAGGUAUUAACUUAGAACAAGUGCUGGGUCUGAGGAUAUGGAUAUGCUCAACGUUAGUACAUACCAUCAACCCGCGUUCCUAAGUGAUCACACGUGGCCACCAGCCAUGGAUCAAAGUUCUAACUGCUCUCCAUCCUUAUCAGAACUAGCAUUUCCCAUCUUUUUUACUUUAUCCAUUCUCUUGGGUGUGAGUUUUUAAUUUUCAUUUUCCUAAUGGCCAGUGGGCAGAAGGAAAUGGCAACCUACUCCAGUGUUCUUGCCUGGAGAAACCCAGGGAUGGAGGAGCCCGGUGGGCUGCCGUCUAUGGGGUCGCACAGAGUCAGACACGACUGAAGCGACUUAGCAGCAGCAGCAAUGGCCAGUGGAACUGAGCAUCUUUCAUGUAUUUAUGCAGCAUUUGAAAGUCCUCUCUCUAGAGAUGCCUGUUCAAGUAGUCUUUUGCUGAUUUGUCAUUGGAUCCCCUCUUUUUAAUUGAUUUGCAGGAAUUUUUUAUUCUGCAACUAUUUUUCCUCAUUCUGUAGAAUGCCAUUUUAUAGAAAUAACUACAUGUUUCUUUUACUGUUUUAUUUUUAUAUCUAGAAAAAUAAAAAAUAAGUCUGCAUUUUUAAAAGUUGUUAAAUAUGUCAGUAUGCCAUCCAAUGAAGCUGAUAAGAGAACAUGAAUGUAAAAAUCACAUAAACAUAUAUAAUAAUUUGGGGUAGAUAUAUAACAUAAUGGGCUAGUUCUUGACACAGAAGAAAAGCAUGCUGAUAGUUUCACUGUGACUAAAAGAUUAGAUCGUGUAUAUCAUUAUCAUAUUCAUUUAGAGAUAUAGGCUAAACCUCUUUAAAAAAUGUAAAAUUUGUAUAUAUCAU